CCUACGGGGGGCAGCAGUGAGGAAUAUUGGUCAAUGGGCGAGAGUCUGAACCAGCCAAGUAGCGUGAAGGAUGACUGCCCUAUGGGUUGUAAACUUCUUUUAUAUGGGAAUAAAAUGUUCCACGUGUGGGUUUUUGUAUGUACCUUAUGAAUAAGGAUCGGCUAACUCCGUGCCAGCAGCCGCGGUAAUACGGAGGAUCCGAGCGUUAUCCGGAUUUAUUGGGUUUAAAGGGAGCGUAGGUGGAUUGUUAAGUCAGUUGUGAAAGUUUGCGGCUCAACCGUAAAAUUGAAGUUGAAACUGGCAGUCUUGAGUACAGGAGAGGUGGGCGGAAUU
Molecule: ribosomal RNA, 333 nt
Filed under: uncultured bacterium
Lineage: Bacteria
Description: partial 16S ribosomal RNA
Rfam family: Bacterial small subunit ribosomal RNA
Source: RNAcentral